CAUUCCCUGGGGAGGUGGUCCCAGCCUGGAGUGGUCUCACCCUUCACCAAGAUGUGCCCAGAGCCUAUCAAUUUCAGUUCUUAAAAGCGUCCGGCUGAGACUACUGACCUCGAACGCUGACAACCUAAGGAAACGCCCAUGAGACAGCAAACCACGUGACUCCUUUCCCUGUUCAGGAGUUUUACCCUCAGAACCAAGCUACGAUGAUGUGAAGAGGUCAAGCAGCCAUGUGAAAAGGCCACAUUUAGGUGUUCCAAGCACAGCCCUAGUUAUCUAACCAGCCAGCAGUCAUCAUCAAUCACUAGAUGUUAGUGGAUAACAGAACAAGAACUAAUACGUGAUCUUAGCAAAGUAACAGAUUACAAGGUCAACAUACAAAAAUCAAUUGGAUUUACAUAUAUACUAGCAGCAAACUGUUGUGUUGAGUCUGAAGUUGCCAGGCUGGCAGAUGUGAAAAAAAUCCAGAUGUAAAAGUAUAACAGAGUUAUAAGCAACUGGAACCCACGUCUAUCUCAAGUUGCCUUCACCCGUGAUAAUGCAAGUGACCCGCAGGUGAAGCUGGCAUCCUUCACCAAAAAAAUAUAUAUGACUCACAUAGAAGUUGAAUGAGGAAAUUCACCAGGAGAUCCAGCACUUUGGAGAAGCUGCAGAAGAAGAUGCUGCGGGAGAUGGAGAACUUAGAGGCACAGAUGUUGCUCCAAAUCCACAGUGAGCCAGCAGAUCAGCAAGAAUUAUACAACCUGUUCAGUUUCUGGUACCCUACACUGACCUUUAGAAUGUAGAAAUAACUGUUGUUUAACACCCUCCCUGGUGGUUUAUUUGAACUUUUU
This 830-nucleotide long non-coding RNA is filed under the name Equus caballus (horse). RNAcentral describes it as "lncRNA (ENSECAG00000058324.1)". The record is from RNAcentral. Lineage: Eukaryota; Metazoa; Chordata; Mammalia; Perissodactyla; Equidae.